CAAUAGCGUAUAUUAAAGUUGUUGCAGUUAAAAAGCUCGUAGUUGGAUUUCGGGACGGGCCAGUUGGUCCGCCGCAAGGUGUGUUACUGACUGGUCUGUUCUUCUUCGCAAAGACUGCGUGUGCUCUUCGUUGAGUGUGCGUAGGAUUUACGACGUUUACUUUGAAAAAAUUAGAGUGUUCAAAGCAGGCUAUCGCUUGAAUACAUGAGCAUGGAAUAAUGGAAUAGGACUUUGGUCCUAUUUUGUUGGUUUCUAGGACCGGAGUAAUGAUUAAGAGGGACAAUUGGGGGCAUCCGUAUUUCGUUGUCAGAGGUGAAAUUCUUGGAUUUACGAAAGACGAACAACUGCGAAAGCACUUGCCAAGAGUGUUUUCAUUAA
This 378-nucleotide ribosomal RNA is filed under the name uncultured eukaryote. RNAcentral describes it as "partial 18S ribosomal RNA". It matches the Rfam family "Eukaryotic small subunit ribosomal RNA", at positions 592 to 976 of the family's 1831-position model. The record is from RNAcentral.